RNAcentral lists this ribosomal RNA (478 nucleotides) under uncultured bacterium. Its description in RNAcentral is "bacterial SSU rRNA". It matches the Rfam family "Bacterial small subunit ribosomal RNA", at positions 30 to 507 of the family's 1533-position model. The record is from RNAcentral.
UUGAACGCUAGCGGCAGGCUUAACACAUGCAAGUCGAGGGUAUGCCGUAUUUAUCGGCAGAGACCGGCGCACGGGUGCGUAACGCGUAUGACAAUCUACCUUCACAGAGGGAUAGCCCAGAGAAAUUUGGAUUAAUACCUCAUAGUAUAGCAGUUUCGCAUGAAACCACUAUUAAAGUUCCAACGGUGAAAGAUGAGCAUGCGUCCCAUUAGCUAGAUGGUAAGGUAACGGCUUACCAUGGCUACGAUGGGUAGGGGUCCUGAGAGGGAGAUCCCCCCACACUGGUACUGAGACACGGACCAGACUCCUACGGGAGGCAGCAGUGAGGAAUAUUGGUCAAUGGACGCAAGUCUGAACCAGCCAUGCCGCGUGCAGGAUGACGGUCCUAUGGAUUGUAAACUGCUUUUGUACGAGAAGAAACAACAUUACGUGUAAUGUCUUGACGGUAUCGUAAGAAUAAGGAUCGGCUAACUCCGUG